CGAGCCGGCCGGGCGGUCGCGUUGCACCCUUCACGGGGUGUGCCGAGGAACGUCCGGGCUCCACACGGCAGGGUGGUGGGUAACGCCCACCCGGGGUGACCCGCGGGACAGUGCCACAGAAAACAGACCGCCGGCCGCUUCGGCAGCCGGUAAGGGUGAAACGGUGGUGUAAGAGACCACCAGUGCCCAGGGUGACCUGGGCAGCUAGGUAAACCCCACCUGGAGCAAGGUCAAGAUGGAACGCCGCAAGGCGCUCCGCGCAGGCGUUCGAGGGCUGCCCGCCCGAGCCUGCGGGUAGACCGCUGGAGGCUGUCGGCAACGGCAGUCCUAGAUGGAUGACCGCCUCCGCGCGGGCCGCAAGGCCCCCGCGAGACAAAACCCGGCGUACAGGCCGACUCGUCCG
Molecule: RNase P RNA, 403 nt
Filed under: Streptomyces sp. 846.5
Lineage: Bacteria; Bacillati; Actinomycetota; Actinomycetes; Kitasatosporales; Streptomycetaceae
Description: Bacterial RNase P class A
Rfam family: Bacterial RNase P class A
About the family: Ribonuclease P (RNase P) is a ubiquitous endoribonuclease, found in archaea, bacteria and eukarya as well as chloroplasts and mitochondria.
Source: Rfam by way of RNAcentral